GGCAUGCAUGAGACCUGAUCUCCUCAUCCUAAAAUGUGAGGCUUGAUCCCUUUUAAAGAAAGAGGCCUAAGACUCCUUCUUAGGAUAGGACUCCACCAUGCCAACAAUUAUUUUUGGGCAUCCCAACACUUGGGCACAAGAGAGAAUUUUCCUGGCCUUCUUAUUGAUGUGUGGUAUGUGAGGCACGCAAGUCCUUUGUUUGGGCUCCCUUAUAGAUAAGAGCCCAAGUGAUGACAAACUCUUAGGCACAUAUGCAUGUCAACUUUUCUUAGGCAUGAGG
RNAcentral lists this long non-coding RNA (280 nucleotides) under Elaeis guineensis (African oil palm). RNAcentral's name for it is "long non-coding RNA (EGUI_LNC044316)". Lineage: Eukaryota; Viridiplantae; Streptophyta; Magnoliopsida; Arecales; Arecaceae. The record is from RNAcentral.